RNAcentral lists this ribosomal RNA (322 nucleotides) under uncultured eukaryote. Its description in RNAcentral is "partial 18S ribosomal RNA". It matches the Rfam family "Eukaryotic small subunit ribosomal RNA", at positions 1470 to 1796 of the family's 1831-position model. The record is from RNAcentral.
CCCUUAGAUGUUCUGGGCCGCACGCGUGCUACACUGAGUGGAUCAGCGGGUCAGGUUGCGCGAAAGUGUUUCCUAAUCUUGAAAUCCGCUCGUGAUGGGGAUUGACGGUUGCAACUUUCCGUCAUGAACGAGGAAUACCUUGUAAGCGCGGGUCAUCAUCCCGCGCUGAAUACGUCCCUGCCCUUUGUACACACCGCCCGUCGCUCCUACCGAUUGAGUGGUCCGGUGAGGCUUUGGGAUCUGAGCAAAAAGAGCGUUUCGCUCGUUUGGCUCGGAAAACUCAGUCGAACCUUAUCAUUUAGAGGAAGGAGAAGUCGUAACA